Numida meleagris (helmeted guineafowl) is the source of this 9299-nucleotide long non-coding RNA. RefSeq lists it as uncharacterized. The record is from RefSeq and is a predicted model, not a curated record. The transcript is spliced from 3 exons. NCBI's taxonomy places the organism in Eukaryota, Metazoa, Chordata, Aves, Galliformes, Numididae.
CACUUGGCAGGGGGGUUGAGACUCGAUGAUCUUUGAGGUCCUUUUCAACCCAAGCCAUUCUGUGAUUCUAUGAUUCUAUGAUUCAUUCAAUACUGCUCCGCCUGAGAGAGAGUCUAAAGUGAACAAACAUGUCUCCAAAUCCAUCCCAAGUUCUUACCACUUGAGCCUUGCACAGAGGUUGUUACUUCUAAUGAAUAUUUUAGACUUCCUUCAGAGGCAGCUGCUGUGCCCCAGUCGCAUGCUGUCUCCCUGGAAGAAGCCGCAUUAGCUACUUUGGGUAUUCAAACACUUGAUAUAUGGUAUCUGUUCUAUGGAAAAGUGCCUCAGGGUGAAAUGUGUUUAAUAGAGAGAGGCUAACAUGGUAGUGAUUUAUCUCAUUUUGGUAAGUUCAUGCCUGUAAUUCAAUAACCCCAUGAGCUACACUUAACUGUAUUCAAUAAAGAUGAUCUAAAGGCGCUCUUCAUGCAGGUGAAGGAUUCAAGAACUGGAGGAAAAGAUGUUAGAAAUAAAUGGACUUGAAGUAAACAAGGAGCUCAGGCAGAACCCUUCCCCGUGAUAAAUGUCUUGAGCAUCAUUAAACCGGUACAAAUGGCUCAGCGAGAGGCAGAGAUUUCUUCCUCUGAAAGGAAAAAGCUGUGCGAGGGACUUUCAUUAAAGAGAAAAUACCACGUUAUGCUCCAGCCGUGACCCAAAUCCUGCAGCAGCACUUUGCAAGCUGUCAUCGUGCGGAGCACUCCUGGGAGAGCGUGCUGUAUCAUCACAGAAUAAGGAUGUGCUGUGAAGGCGACAGGAAGCCUGGUUGCACGCAGCCAGAUGAAAAAGAGGUGAUAGACCACGGCUUUAUUCUGGUUGUGCUUUGGAAACCUUUAGCCAAGUACCUGGGCGCACAAAGCACUUACUUGCAGACAAUGCUGCAUGCAAACCAUACAGCAGUGUGAGAAGGAAAUAUGGUACCUAAACAGCUGCUCGGGGCUGUAAUUGCUCAGUUUGAAUGUAAAUCCAAAAUAAAUAGCACUGGCAGCUGAGUCACACAAUUGCAGACCUGAAGCUCUUCAAAGUGAGCUCUAAAAAUACUUGGUGUGCUUUAGAAAUUAGUGGCUGCGUGCAGAGGAAAUGGGCACUGAAAGCACAGUAUCGCAGCAUCGACAGCAGCUGUGCAAAGGACUUUCAAACAAGCUGUGGCUGCUGCUGGUGUUCAGGGCAGUCUGGGGAGAAGAGCAGGUGGGCACAGGUCCCUGCUGCCCAAAAUGGGUGCAUUGGCACUUGUGGGUCGUGGUUCCUCCCUGCACAGACUGUGGUCACUCAGCUGUCGCUGCUCUUCCCUCACCAUCCCCAGUGAAGGGAAAGCUCAGCCCAGCAUCACUGCUACCAGUGCUGGGACCUGCUGUCUGAAACCCAGUGUUCAGUGUGGCCUUCACAAAUGGGAGGUGUUGGGAGAGAAGAGCAUUUCUGGACUUCAUACGCAGUAGGAGUGGUCGGGCAUUGGAACAGGCUGACCAUGGAGGGGGUGGAGUCACCGUCCUUGGAGGUGUUCCACAAAAUGUGGGGAUGUGGCACUGAGGGACGUGGUCUAGAGCAGUCACAGGCAUGGUUUGAUGGUUGGUCUGGAUGAUCUUAUUGUCUUUCCAACCUCAAUGAUUCUAUGAUUCUGUAAGGGAGGAGCCUUGGUCACCAUGGCUGGAGCACUGGAAGAUUUUCCAGAGCACGUGGCAGAAAGCUGACCGCUCUGUUUUUCCUGCUACUUCCAGGAGGGACCUUCCUGGGCAGUGACCUCAUCUGUAGGACUCAGUGAGGCUGUCCUCAUCCCUCGCCCCAUGUGAGACACUGGUUGCCAGCAGCACAGCACUUGAACCUCUGCAGGAUCCAGGGAAGAGACACCUGGCCCCGCCAGCCCCACUGCCUCCAGCCCAGUGGCUGCAGGAGCCCAGAGGCUCAGGAAGAAGCCCAGAUGUUUUCCAGUGAGUGGGUAAAAUGUGUGCAAUUUGAAGUGUGUUUGUGGGGGGGACGGAUGAUGAAACUCAGCAGCUAAACCCAAAGGAACAAGUGUGAGCUCUGAGCCCAGGACAACCUCCAAGUGCUUCUCUGGGUCAUUUUUUAUGACUUUCCAAAUGUUUUGGUAAGUACAUUCUUCACAGCUGAUUCAAACACAGAAUAGAAUCAAUGUUUUUUCCCAAAACAUUCCAAAAAGGUUUUUAAGCAGAGUUGUACGGGCAGGAGGGGAAUCACAAGCUUGCACAAAGGACCUGGGAGGCAGAAGGCUUCCGGUCUGUGUUGUAUUUCUUCCUCAGCCCUACAGCAAACAGCUCGUUGAGUAAUCUUUUCCCCUUUGGUUGUCAUUCUUUCUAGUUGUUGAAAUGUCUGGAGCUUCCAUUUACGUAAAGCACUCCUCUAAUGCUUUUCGCAGCUGCCUCUUCAAUCAAAAUCUACCAGAAUACUCAAUGUGUCAAGCCCUGAUCUGCCACUGCUGUGAGUGUUCUUCUUUGGACACUUUACAUGUUUUUGUUCACAGAGCAUUCCUGUUUUGCCUCUCCCCACUGCAGCCAUUCUGCACCUUCUGUUGCCCCCCAGCACUGCACGGAGGUGCCCAGGGAGGCGGCAAAUCUCUCUCCUAACACAUCUGAAUACACCAGCCACUAUAAAUAUUCAGAGCAAUAAAACCGUUAAUGCAGGAUGAUUAAAAAGUUAUGGUUCCCCCAGCAACAUGAACCCACUGCCUCACGCAUGCCAAGGCUUGGAGAUUACCGCUUUGCUGUUACACGAAUGCCUCCAUCCCUCUGCACCGUGCAGCCGGGCUGGGGUUGCCAUGGGAAUGGGAGGUCGGGUUUUGUGCUGGUGUGGAUGCAAUGAAACUCACUGGUCCUUUAAUGGCCUGUUUUAAUGCUGCAAUGGCCUGUGUUAGUGCUGCUGCUCCGCAGUGCCUGGCUGGAUGCGAACUGAAUCAGUCACAGGAUGGCUGAAGUGGAAGGGAACUCUGGAGGCCACCUGGCCCAACCCAGCUCCAGGAGGAACACCCAAGCAGGGUGCCCAGGGCCACAUCUGGGUGGCUUUGGGAGGUCCCCAAGGAGGAGACUCCAUAGCCUCAGGGCAGCCUGUGCCAGUGCUCAGCCUCCUUUGCCACACAUUUGGAGUGGUGCAGCCGAAAGCUUCUUCUUUGCUCUUUUCCCCAGUCCUGGAGCCCACAGAUGCUUGCCUCUGCCUGGUGCCUCCAUUUCAACCCCUUUGUCUUUCUCUUUCCCAGUGCCAUCACUCCCAGAGCACUCACAUUUUUGAAAAUGUCACUUUUUUUGUCUUUCUCAGGCCACAUUUCCAGAUGUGUCUUCACAGACUGCCUCCAAUUUUCUCCUUAAUCAUCCCAGGAUCAGUCCUUUUAUUUACUUCCCUCUCCUUCUCUUUUCCCCUACUGCCUUAUUAGGAGAGCAUCCCUUUCUGAUGAGGGCUCAGCAAAUCAUUUACGUCAAAAUGUACAUGAAGAAUACAAUGAAUAUUUCAGUAUUUCCAAAACUCAUAGAUGAUUCUACAAUCCCAUCUGAGAUGUGUGCUCAGGACUACCCAUGACCCUGUUCAACAAAGAGUGAAUGUUCCCUAUGCCAGUCAGUCACUAACAGAUAGAAUGCAGUACUCGGUCUGCUUUUUGCAAGGGAGCUCUGCCAGUAAUGUAACUAAAUGACAGCGAGGAAAGGAGCAAACCCCAAGUGAGAGCAAGGUAUGAAUUUUGAGAGAGUAAUUAGCUUCUAGGAGAUCUCAUCCAUGAGUUCUCUGUCACGCUGGGGCUUUUAUCAAGACAGAGUGUCUUUCCCUCUCAGCCACAAAUUGCGGGGUUGGAUGCAGGGAUCACUGGCUGUGAGUUUAUGGCUGUGCUAUACAGGAGGUCAGAUGAGAUGAUGGUAAUAGCCCCCUCUGGCCUUCCAAUUUAUGACUCUAUGAAUUUCAAACUGUUCAUUCGGUUGUAAUGUUAGUAAUUUAUCUCAAAUUAAAUGUCAUCCGGCAGGUGACCAGAACCAAGCCACCUGACUGGGGCAGCCCUUGUUGGGGUGAGGCAGCCUCUGGCACACAAACCGCUAUUUGCUGUGAGCUGCUCUCCAGCCACCACAGCCCGUUUUGGAGGAGUCCUCCCCACUAAGAAAUGACCAAGGUCCAAAUGUUCCUUCUCAGUGGGACCUCAAGUGGAACGGGAGCAUGGGGAGAAUACUGAGCUUGAGCAAAGUGCGUGGUGAUCUUCACUCUUUACAAAUAUUCCUCCUCUCCCUCCCUUUCCGUCACUGCCUCCCCUAGAGUAAGCAUCCUUCUUACUCUUCUCUUCAGCUUUUCUUUCUGUAUUUUCCAUGUUAAAUGACAAUUUCAGCAAGACAUGGCCACCUCUGCUUGCAAAGUGCCACCAAUGAGCUGUACCAUGACAAACAAUCCAAUUCCAUAACAUCUCUGUGAUUUAUUUCCAACCAUCACAUCUCUUUACAAUAUUACUCAGGGAUCAUUAUUCCAGAAUAGCAAAUAAUUUCUCAGUCUUUUCCCCCCCCAUUUUUCCAAUAAUCUGAAUGUGAUCGGAGCUGUACCUUGUUAAGCCACAUAGGUGAGAGGCCAAGAGAAGCAGUUUGAACUUCACCCACAGGGCAGGCAGCAAACAGUAGGUGGAAAGGAGCCUUUGUCCUGGGGAAACACGCAGUGAUCAGCACGGCUGUUUUCUCAAGCGGAGCCGGGAGCCUUGAGAACCCCUUGCAAAUGAGGGUCCAGGGUUUACAAAUAGCUAUCUGCCACUUUCUGCCUUGUUUUUGUGGUGAUUAAUGUGCCUGGGAGAGCAGGGAUUUGAUAUAAAAAGCUGUAUGGCUGGUGCGAGGCUUGCACACCAGCCAUCACAAACACUCCUAAUCAUAUGCAGUUUCUCCUGGAAGCACUAGAGGGAAGACAGCUGAGUGGUUCCAAAGUGAUUUGUUUCCAACCCAUCCCCUGUGUUAGUGGGAAGUCAGGAGCUACACUGCUUUUCCUAAAGAUUUAGCCCAUAAAGUCAUGUCAUUACAUAAGAAAUGCAGUUUUUUUUAUUUAUUUAUUUUAUAAGGGAAAUAUUAUAAUAUAUUUAGAAGGGCAAAAUUGUAAAUAAAAGGCCUUGCCUGUAUUGAGAUAUCCUGAUAGGAAGUGUGGCUUAAGGCGAUUUAAUCCAGGGGCAACAUUUCUCUGAUGAGGACUGGGCAUGGGGACAGAAGCAUUAACUCCCAGGCCCCCUCACAGGACAAGGGCAUUCUGUUAAAUUCUAUUAACACUUUUAAUUAACUGUCCUAUUAGCAGAGCUGCUGGUGAUGCUGUUGGAGAGGGCAGCUGGGAGCUCAUCUGCAUGAGCUGCACAGGGGAUGUGCUCCAGUGUGCACAGCUCGGAUCCUGGGCUGCAUCAAAGCACUGUGCUCCCCUCCAUUUUGUAUGCUGCUGAUGUUGACUCCACAGAGCCUUGCUUAAGGGUGUCUGCUCAAGCACUUGUGAAAUUUAUGAAAAUCAUAAACUGUGAAGAGCAAAAUAAAUUUUCUACACUGAGUGCAACCAAUCACUGGAACAACCUCCUCAGGGUCGUGGCAGGAUCUCUGGUACCGGAGGUUUUCAGGACGCAGUUGGACAGGAUGCUCGAUAAUCUCAUUGAGGAUCCUUUUUCCCACAAGACUUGGACCUGAUGAUCUUUCAAGAUCCCUUCCAACCUGGGCUGUUCUAUGAUUCUAAAAAGGGGAUAUCUCAUUUUGCCUCUGGGCAAACAGCCAUGUUCUGUUCACACCUGCAGCAUCCUUCUGCAGGAUGAAGAAACGCCCUGAGGAGGGACCACAGACACACUGAGCAGAGCUUUAGGGAAAGGAACGUUCCUGGAAUUGAGCUGAAAAGGACUGACUGGGAGCUCCGCCUCAUUGAUACCGGUCCUCAGCGGCCGUGGACAGUUGCCUGCUCUUCACUCAUAAACUGAACAACUUUGUCAUCUUCUUCUUGCCCUCUGUCUUCUCCGCUAGCAGUUGCGUCUCCUUCUCAUUUCCAGCCCAUACAUAUCCAUGCCUAUUUUGGGUUCCUUCAUGCUUGUGACAGUUCAGCUCCCGUGUUUUCCACCCAUCCCCUUGCUUGCUCCCCAGCUCAGGUGGGCUUCCACCUCUGUUACUUCUGAGCCCUGUUGGAGCAGCACAGGUUGGAGAGCAUUGAAAUGAGCAUGUUUGUGUAGUACAGGAUCACACCAUAAGAGGGAGAUGAUUCCCCAUGGAUUUUCUGGGGGACCCAAACCCCUGUCAUGACCAGUGGGCGUCAGCGUUUGAGUGGAAAAGUGGCUGAUGGAAGCUAGAGAGGUCUGUCAGAGAAAACCAGAAGGGGACACAGCUGGGAGAUGUGCACUCAUGUCAGGAGAUGAGUGCCCCGAUGUCCUUCCGGUGGGCGAAGCCUCCACUGGAAACACACUCGUGGAUUUUCCAGUCUACCUUCUGCCAUCCAUACAGAUUUAUUCUGAGAAGCCUCUUUACAUUCUUUCAGAUCACUGUAUUCCCCUUCGUGCUGCUUCAUUUAUUCUCAGGCCAGAGGAGGCCCUGGGAGAGCCCCUGUGGGCAGUUCUGCCCCAAGCUCAAAGGAACUAUAAGGGGCUGAUGCUACAGGAGAGAAACAUGGGGUGUGAGUUUCUGCCCUCAGUCCUGCUCUGCUCGCUCUCACUUAUUAAGGAUGCUGCCUGGGCAUGGGCAGACUGGGACAGAGAAAAUGGCUCUCCAGGGAGCUGGGGAUGGCAUCUGCCAAGCUGCCACUGAAUCAAAGGGACGCACUGUGGCUGCACGUCUGUGUGUCUGUCUGUACCCACUUGGCUCCUGUGGAAUGAAAACUUUGGCUGCCUGAAGCACAGGAGCUGGAGCAGGGUUUGUUCAGUAGGUCUGGGAAAAGCUGUUGCACCUGAAGAAUUCCAGCGUGUUUUAAAUAUGAUUCUUUGUAAAAAAAUUUUUUAUAGCACCACAGUAGAAAAAAUGAAUUUUAUCAUAAAACUUUAGCCACCCUCCAAGAAGGAGCAUUUCUCCCAAUAUCUGAAGUACAUAUGUGUGCUUUAUGAAUCACGUUUCUUCAUCAAAAGAAGGGGAAAAAAAGGUCAUCUGAAAAAUAUGUACCAGUGAGGGAAUCUGGCAUUAUCACCCAUGGCUUUCUUGAACAACAACCCUGUACUCCCCUGUACUGUUGAUUUCUGGAGCAGGUUUGAAUUUAGCAUCAAGGUGCAAGACAUUUUUUAAAGUCUUCAUUACAGUGCUGAAUGACUCCCCUUUUCCCCUUUAUUACACCUUUUUCUUUUUUCUCUCCAAGUCUUGCUGCAGGAGGUCAAGGAGCAGAAUUACAUCAACUCCCUUUUCUUCCUGUCCACGUCAGUCUCCUGAGCUUCAGACACUGUUUUUGCCAAGACUGUUGGAAACUGGAAAGGGCCUGAACUUGGCAAAGCUCUGAAGUUUCUGCAGAAGCCUGAAGUCAGACUGAGGCGUUCAGCAUGGUGCCCAGACACCUCCUCCCUCUGCUCCCAGAGAUGAUGUGUGUGACCUCCCAGGCCACGUCCUCCCAUGGGCUCCCCAGUUCUGCCCAUCUCAGUGCUGUGGAGAAGGGAUGGGACAAGGGGCAGAAGGGCAUUCUGCUGCUGGAGGGUACAGAGGAGACCCCUCCGCACCUCUGCGAGUUUUCAGGGCUGCCAGGCCCUGAGAGGAUGGGAGAAGGGCAAUGGAGAAUUAAGAGCUGCCAGAGAAAGUUGGUUGGGCAGGUACUAAGCAAGAAAUUUCCUGGAUGAAUGGGAUCAAGAGAGCCUUGGAGGGUAGGACUGCAAGGAAAGGAUGGAUAUCCAUCAGGCUGGGUGCCCCCACAUUCCUGUUCCACAAGAGCUUGUGUCAAUGAGGUAAGUACUGGCCCUGGGCCGUAAGAGCUGUGGCAGCAGUAGUAGAGCCCUCCAGUUCAGCACUGAGCACUUCCAGGAGAGGGAAGCAUCCCUCCUCCCAGUUCUCAGGGAACGUCACACCAAAGCAAAAAGAGGUGACCAUUGUACCAUAGCUGCUAGCAAAUUUGCUCAGGGUAACAAAGGCUAACUCAGAGUUUCUCCCAUACAGUUCACUCAACCUUGGAGCUCCUACAUGACAUGAUGGAAGUGGCAGCAGGACAGAGACACUGCAACAUCACCCCCAGAACUUCACAUUUUAUGUUACACCUUAAAGAGAACAAGGAAUGAAAACAGUAAAGGAGGCAGAUUGGGACAGCAGGACAGAUGGAAAUAACCAGCAGUGACUUUGUGGCUUCAGCUCUAUCUUUCCCUGAGGUAAGAGUGACACAAAUCUAAUCUUUCCUGCAAAAACCAUCAGCUCUGACAAUUCCUCAAGCUCUUUGGCUGUUCGCACUUUGACACCUUGGGAAAACAACAGCUGAAGAUGAUCUGCCGAGAUUCUACCACUCAGAGUUUGGUUGCCCAGUGAGUUGCAGUCAAGGAUAAUGGCAGAAAUAAUGAGAAACAGCGGGGAACAGGAAACCGAUUGAGAUUGAUCGUUUUUUGUAGUCAGCUUGUGAUGACCUUUGGGGAAAGUGGGCAUUUAAUUUUUACUGAUGUUGUAAAGGCACAGACAAAGUCCUGACCUUUCUGAUCCACGGUGACCACUAUGAGCAUCCCACUGAGAAUUAAUUACAAUUGCCUGGAGCUGCUCCAAGAAGCCUUUAUUAGAGUACUAUAAAUGUGGUAAAAGCGAUCAGUAUGUCUGGGAGAAGCUAUUCCAUGCGCCUGCUGUGAUAUCUAAAAGAAGCUCAGACUUGUCAGCUUGUUGUUUUGUUUUGCUGUUCAUUAACAAGACUGAAACUGGAAAGACAGCCUUAGAACUCCAGGGCAAGUGUUUCCCAUCAUUCUACUCUUCACACAGAUACUUUUGUAUUAGAUUAAAGCACAAUAGAUGAUAGAAAUAGGCAGUACAAAAAUCAAAUAUCCCCCCAAGAGACAAGACACAGUACAGUUCUCUACUGAACAAAGCAGAAUACAUCAGCUUCUUCUACUAGCUUCCAAGCAAUGAAAAGUGGAAGUGAACCAAGCAUGCCACACAAAACUCUGAACAAAGAAGUAUUUAAAUUCAAGGUAUGCUACAAUACUUUUGUAUUUCAAUGACCAGCAGAAAGCCAGGGCUAUUCGUCACAUGGGAAUUUGCAUUCCUUUCCCCUAGAGAUCAAUCUAAAAAUGGAAAAUCAGACACUUGUAGAAACUUGAGGAAGGAGUAAACCAUACAAGAUACAAUGAUUUUGUCAGAUACUUUGCCAAAAGGACUGGAAUUCAAUAAGAAGGUUUAAAUAAAAACUGUAAAACCAUC